AUUGAACGCUGGCGGAAUGCUUUACACAUGCAAGUCGAGCGGCAGCGCGGGGCAACCUGGCGGCGAGCGGCGAACGGGUGAGUAAUGCAUCGGAACGUACCCAGUCGUGGGGGAUAACUGUCCGAAAGGACAGCUAAUACCGCAUACGUCCUGAGGGAGAAAGCGGGGGAUCGCAAGACCUCGCGCGAUUGGAGCGGCCGAUAUCGGAUUAGCUAGUUGGUGGGGUAAAGGCUCACCAAGGCGACGAUCCGUAGCGGGUCUGAGAGGACGACCCGCCACACUGGAACUGAGACACGGUCCAGACUCCUACGGGAGGCAGCAGUGGGGAAUUUUGGACAAUGGGGGCAACCCUGAUCCAGCCAUUCCGCGUGAGUGAAGAAGGCCUCGGUUGUAAGAC
Molecule: ribosomal RNA, 397 nt
Filed under: uncultured bacterium
Lineage: Bacteria
Description: bacterial SSU rRNA
Rfam family: Bacterial small subunit ribosomal RNA
Source: RNAcentral